This 253-nucleotide ribosomal RNA is filed under the name uncultured bacterium. RNAcentral's name for it is "partial 16S ribosomal RNA". It matches the Rfam family "Bacterial small subunit ribosomal RNA", at positions 524 to 776 of the family's 1533-position model. The record is from RNAcentral.
UACAGAGGGGGCAAGCGUUAUUCGGAAUUAUUGGGCGUAAAGGGCGCGUAGGCGGCCUGGCAAGUGGAAGGUGGAAUCCCUCGGCUUAACCGAGGAACUGCCCUCCAAACUGCUUGGCUUGAGUCCGGGAGAGGUGAGUGGAAUUCCCAGUGUAGCGGUGAAAUGCGUAGAUAUUGGGAGGAACACCAGUGGCGAAGGCGGCUCACUGGACCGGAACUGACGCUGAGGCGCGAAAGCGUGGGGAGCAAACAGG